AGCCUGUGAUGGUUUUAAGAGUAGUGGACAGAAGGGAUUUCUGAAAUUCUAUUCUGAGGCU
Molecule: small nucleolar RNA, 61 nt
Organism: Otolemur garnettii (small-eared galago)
Lineage: Eukaryota; Metazoa; Chordata; Mammalia; Primates; Galagidae
Source: Ensembl